This 292-nucleotide ribosomal RNA is filed under the name uncultured bacterium. Its description in RNAcentral is "partial 16S ribosomal RNA". It matches the Rfam family "Archaeal small subunit ribosomal RNA", at positions 455 to 747 of the family's 1478-position model. The record is from RNAcentral.
GUGCCAGCCGCCGCGGUAAUACCGGCAGCACAAGUGAUGGCCGAUAUUAUUGGGCCUAAAGCGUUCGUAGCUGGCCGGACAAGUCCGUUGGGAAAUCCACGCGCUCAACGUGUGGGCGUCCAGCGGAAACUGUCCGGCUUGGGGCCGGAAGACCCGAGGGGUACGUCCAGGGUAGGAGUGAAAUCCUGUAAUCCUGGACGGACCGCCGGUGGCGAAAGCACUUCGAGAAAACGGAUCCGACAGUGAGGGACGAAAGCUAAGAUCGCGAACCGGAUUAGAUACCCGGUAGUCC